Molecule: transfer RNA, 73 nt
Filed under: Thermoanaerobaculia bacterium
Lineage: Bacteria; Pseudomonadati; Acidobacteriota; Thermoanaerobaculia
Description: tRNA-Ile
Rfam family: tRNA
About the family: Transfer RNA (tRNA) molecules are approximately 80 nucleotides in length. Their secondary structure includes four short double-helical elements and three loops (D, anti-codon, and T loops). Further hydrogen bonds mediate the characteristic L-shaped molecular structure. tRNAs have two regions of fundamental functional importance: the anti-codon, which is responsible for specific mRNA codon recognition, and the 3' end, to which the tRNAs corresponding amino acid is attached (by aminoacyl-tRNA synthetases). tRNAs cope with the degeneracy of the genetic code in two manners: having more than one tRNA (with a specific anti-codon) for a particular amino acid; and 'wobble' base-pairing, i.e. permitting non-standard base-pairing at the 3rd anti-codon position.
Source: RNAcentral
GGGUCCAUAGCUCAGCGGUUAGAGCAACCGGCUCAUAACCGGCAGGUCUCUGGUUCGAAUCCAGGUGGACCCA